RNAcentral lists this ribosomal RNA (231 nucleotides) under uncultured bacterium. Its description in RNAcentral is "partial 16S ribosomal RNA". It matches the Rfam family "Bacterial small subunit ribosomal RNA", at positions 103 to 334 of the family's 1533-position model. The record is from RNAcentral.
CGGGUGCGUAACACGUGAGCAACCUUCCGAAAUAUGGGGGAUAGCCGGCCUAACGGCCGAGUAAUACCGCAUACGCUCUCGAUGAGGCAUUUCAUUGAGAGGAAACCUCCGGGGUAUUUCGAGGGGCUCGCGGCCUAUCAGCUAGUUGGUGGGGUCACGGCUUACCAAGGCGACGACGGGUAGCUGGUCUGAGAGGAUGGCCAGCCACAUUGGGACUGAUAGACGGCCCAG